UUACUCCUACGGGAGGCAGCAGUGGGGAAUUUUCCGCAAUGGGCGAAAGCCUGACGGAGCAAUGCCGCGUGGAGGUGGAAGGCCUACGGGUCGUCAACUUCUUUUCUCGGAGAAGAAACAAUGACGGUAUCUGAGGAAUAAGCAUCGGCUACCUCUGUGCCAGCAGCCGCGGUAAUAA
This 178-nucleotide ribosomal RNA is filed under the name uncultured bacterium. RNAcentral's name for it is "partial 16S ribosomal RNA". It matches the Rfam family "Bacterial small subunit ribosomal RNA", at positions 333 to 526 of the family's 1533-position model. The record is from RNAcentral.